CACACGAGGGUUUUACUGUCUCUUACUUCCAAUCAGUGAAAUUGACCUUCCCGUGAAGAGGCGGGAAUAUAAUAAUAAGACGAGAAGACCCUAUGGAGCUUUAACUUCUUAGCCCAAAGAAACAAAAUUUAUUUCCAAGGAAACAACAACAUUCUUUAUGGGUUAACAGCUUUGGUUGGGGUGACCUCGGAGAAUAAAAAAUCCUCCGAGCGAUUUUAAAGACCAGACCCACAAGUCAAAUCACAUAAUCGCUUAUUGAUCCAAAAAAUUGAUCAACGGAACAAGUUACCCUAGGGAUAACAGCGCAAUCCUAUUCAAGA
Molecule: ribosomal RNA, 320 nt
Filed under: Muntiacus putaoensis (Leaf deer)
Lineage: Eukaryota; Metazoa; Chordata; Mammalia; Artiodactyla; Cervidae
Description: partial 16S ribosomal RNA
Rfam family: Bacterial large subunit ribosomal RNA
Source: RNAcentral